AUUGAACGCUGGCGGCGUGCUUAACACAUGCAAGUCGAACGGUAAGGCCCUUCGGGGUACACAAGUGGCGAACGGGUGAGUAACACGUGGGUGAUCUGCCCUGCACUUUGGGAUAAGCCUGGGAAACUGGGUCUAAUACCGGAUAGGACCACGCGCUUCAUGGUGUGUGGUGGAAAGCUUUUGCGGUGUGGGAUGGGCCCGCGGCCUAUCAGCUUGUUGGUGGGGUAAUGGCCUACCAAGGCGACGACGGGUAGCAGGCCUGAGAGGGUGUCCGGCCACACUGGGACUGAGAUACGGCCCAGACUCCUACGGGAGGCAGCAGUGGGGAAUAUUGCACAAUGGGCGCAAGCCUGAUGCAGCGACGCCGCGUGAGGGAUGACGGCCUUCGGGUUGUAAACCUCUUUCAGCAGGGACGAAGCGCAAGUGACGGUACCUGUAGAAGAAGCACCGGCCAACUACGUGCCAGCCGCCGCCGUAA
This 478-nucleotide ribosomal RNA is filed under the name uncultured bacterium. RNAcentral's name for it is "partial 16S ribosomal RNA". It matches the Rfam family "Bacterial small subunit ribosomal RNA", at positions 28 to 523 of the family's 1533-position model. The record is from RNAcentral.